This 301-nucleotide ribosomal RNA is filed under the name uncultured bacterium. Its description in RNAcentral is "partial 16S ribosomal RNA". It matches the Rfam family "Bacterial small subunit ribosomal RNA", at positions 509 to 807 of the family's 1533-position model. The record is from RNAcentral.
CAGUCGCCGCGGUAAUACGAGGGGGGCAAGCGUUGUUCGGAAUUAUUGGGCGUAAAGGGCGCGUAGGCGGUUUGGCAAGUUUGGUGUGAAAUCUUCGGGCUCAACUCGAAGUCUGCACCGAAAACUGCCGGGCUUGAGUAUGGGAGAGGUGAGUGGAAUUUCCGGUGUAGCGGUGAAAUGCGUAGAUAUCGGAAGGAACACCUGUGGCGAAAGCGGCUCACUGGACCAUUACUGACGCUGAGGCGCGAAAGCUAGGGGAGCAAACAGGAUUAGAUACCCCAGUAGUCCCUGUCUCUUAUAC